GGGAGAUAGAUCAGUGGUUAAGAACACUGACUGUGCUUCCAGAGGUCCCGGGUUCAAUUCCCAGCAACCA
This 70-nucleotide transfer RNA is filed under the name Mus musculus (house mouse). RNAcentral describes it as "tRNA-His". The record is from RNAcentral. Lineage: Eukaryota; Metazoa; Chordata; Mammalia; Rodentia; Muridae.